AACGAACGCUGGCGGCAUGCCUAACACAUGCAAGUCGAACGAGACCUUCGGGUCUAGUGGCGCACGGGUGCGUAACGCGUGGGAACCUGCCCUUAGGUUCGGAAUAACUCAGAGAAAUUUGAGCUAAUACCGGAUAAUGUCUUCGGACCAAAGAUUUAUCGCCUUUGGAUGGGCCCGCGUAGGAUUAGCUUGUUGGUGGGGUAAUGGCCUACCAAGGCGACGAUCCUUAGCUGGUCUGAGAGGAUGAUCAGCCACACUGGGACUGAGACACGGCCCAGACUCCUACGGGAGGCAGCAGUGGGGAAUACUGGACAAUGGGCGAAAGCCUGAUCCAGCAAUGCCGCGUGAGUGAUGAAGGCCUUAGGGUUGUAAAGCUCUUUUACCAGGGAUGAUAAUGACAGUACCUGGAGAAUAAGCUCCGGCUAACUCCGUG
This 433-nucleotide ribosomal RNA is filed under the name uncultured bacterium. RNAcentral's name for it is "partial 16S ribosomal RNA". It matches the Rfam family "Bacterial small subunit ribosomal RNA", at positions 29 to 507 of the family's 1533-position model. The record is from RNAcentral.